RNAcentral lists this ribosomal RNA (265 nucleotides) under uncultured cyanobacterium. RNAcentral describes it as "partial 16S ribosomal RNA". It matches the Rfam family "Bacterial small subunit ribosomal RNA", at positions 470 to 734 of the family's 1533-position model. Lineage: Bacteria; Bacillati; Cyanobacteriota. The record is from RNAcentral.
UGACGGUACCUAUCGAAUCAGCAUCGGCUAACUCCGUGCCAGCAGCCGCGGUAAUACGGAGGAUGCAAGCGUUAUCCGGAAUUAUUGGGCGUAAAGCGUCCGUAGGUGGUUGUUCAAGUCUGCUGUUAAAGCGUGCGGCUUAACCGCAUACCAGCAGUGGAAACUGGGCGACUAGAGUGCGGUAGGGGUCAGGGGAAUUCCCAGUGUAGCGGUGAAAUGCGUAGAUAUUGGGAAGAACACCGGUGGCGAAAGCGCCUGACUGGAC